AUUGAACGCUGGCGGCAUGCCUUACACAUGCAAGUCGAACGGCAGCACGGGUGCUUGCACCUGGUGGCGAGUGGCGAACGGGUGAGUAAUACAUCGGAACGUACCUUAUCGUGGGGGAUAACGCAGCGAAAGCUGUGCUAAUACCGCAUACGCCCUGAGGGGGAAAGCGGGGGAUCGAAAGACCUCGCGCGAUUAGAGCGGCCGAUGCCUGAUUAGCUUGUUGGUGGGGUAAAAGCCCACCAAGGCGACGAUCAGUAGCUGGUCUGAGAGGACGAUCAGCCACACUGGGACUGAGACACGGCCCAGACUCCUACGGGAGGCAGCAGUGGGGAAUUUUGGACAAUGGGCGAAAGCCUGAUCCAGCCAUUCCGCGUGAGUGAAGAAGGCCUU
This 390-nucleotide ribosomal RNA is filed under the name uncultured bacterium. RNAcentral's name for it is "bacterial SSU rRNA". It matches the Rfam family "Bacterial small subunit ribosomal RNA", at positions 30 to 418 of the family's 1533-position model. The record is from RNAcentral.